Molecule: ribosomal RNA, 1950 nt
Filed under: human gut metagenome
Description: bacterial LSU rRNA
Rfam family: Bacterial large subunit ribosomal RNA
Source: RNAcentral
GAAAGUAAGCAAGGGCAGACGGUGGAUGCCUUGGCUCUCGGAGGCGACGAAGGACGUGAUAAGCUGCGAAAAGCCCGGGGGAGGCGCAAAUAGCCGUUGAUCCCGGGAUAUCCGAAUGGGGCAACCCGGCAGGCUGAAGGCCUGUCAUCCCGAAAGGGAGGCGAACGUGGGGAACUGAAACAUCUAAGUACCCAUAGGAGGAGAAAAUAAACAAUGAUUCCGUAAGUAGUGGCGAGCGAACACGGAAGAGCCCAAACCCAUGUCGUCUAGGCGACACGGGGGUUGUAGGACCACGACGUGGCAAGAAGGAAGGGAAAUGGAACGCCUUGGAAAAGUCGGCCAUAGACGGUGAAAGCCCGGUACAUGACUCCCUUACGAAGCCUAGUGGUAUCCUGAGUAGCGCGGGGCACGAGAAAUCUUGCGUGAAGCAGCGGGGCCCAUCCCGUAAGGCUAAAUACUCCCGAGAGACCGAUAGCGAACCAGUACCGUGAGGGAAAGGUGAAAAGAACCCCGAGCAGGGGAGUGAAAUAGACCCUGAACCCGUCUGCCUACAAGCGGUCGGAGCGUCGUAAUGACGUGACGGCGUGCCUUUUGCAUAAUGAACCUACGAGUUACCUUCCCCGGCAAGGUUAAGUUCUUGAGGAACGGAGCCGAAGCGAAAGCGAGUCUGAACAGGGCGCCAAGUCGGGGGGGGUAGACGCGAAACCGAGUGAUCUACCCUUGGCCAGGUUGAAGGUUGGGUAACACCAACUGGAGGACCGGAUGGGUAAGCGUUGAAAAGCUUUCCAAUGAGCUGAGGGUAGGGGUGAAAGGCUAAUCAAACUCGGAGAUAGCUCGUACUCCCCGAAAUGCAUUUAGGUGCAGCCUCUUUAUAGUAUAUCGUGAGGUAGAGCGACUGAUUGGAUGCGAGGGCUUCACCGCCUAUCAAGUCCAGAUAAACUCCGAAUGCGCGAUAUAUAUUUACAGGGAGUGAGGGCGCGGGUGCUAAGGUCCGUGUCCGAGAGGAGAAGAAUCCAGACCACCGGCUAAGGCCCCCAAAUGAUCGUUAAGUUGAACUAACGAGGUCGGAUCGCAGAGACAGCUAGGAUGUUGGCUUGGAAGCAGCCAUUCAUUUAAAGAGUGCGUAACAGCUCACUAGUCGAGCGAUCUGGCGUGGAUAAUAAUCGGGCAUAAACGAUCUGCCGAAGCCGUGGAUGUCGCAAGACAUGGUAGGGGAGCAUUCCAUGCCGCGUCGAAGAUGAGGGAUGACCCUUGUUGGAGCGCAUGGAAAAGCAAAUGUAGGUAUGAGUAACGAUAAGGGGGGCGAGAAACCCCCCCGCCGAAAGACCAAGGUUUCCUGAUCAACGCUAAUCGGAUCAGGGUGAGUCGGGACCUAAGGCAAAGCCGAACGGCGCCGCCGAUGGAAGAAUGGGUUAAUAUUCCCAUACUGCCUCAUGGAGUGACGUGGAGACGGAGAAGUGACAGUCCUGCCGGCUGACGGAAUAGCCGGUUGAAGGGUGUAGAUAUUGAUUCCCGUAGGCAAAUCCGCGGGGAGAGUCGAACCUGAGAGUAUACGGAGCGCUUGCGCAACGUAAUAUGGACGUAACCAUGCUCCCGAGAAAAUCCGCUAAACUUAUCCAUGCGGCACCCGUACCGUAAACGGACACACGUGGUCGGGUUGAGAAUACUGAGGCGCUCGAGUGAUUCACGGUUAAGGAACUAGGCAAAUUGACCCUGUAACUUCGGGAUAAAGGGUCCUCGUCGUAAGGCGAGGCGCAGAGAAUAGGUCCAGGCAACUGUUUAACAAAAACACAUGGCUGUGCUAAAUGGAAACAUGAUGUAUACAGCCUGACACCUGCCCGGUGCUGGAAGGUUAAGAGGAGAUGUCAUCGCAAGAGAAGCGUUGAAUUGAAGCCCCAGUAAACGGCGGCCGUAACUAUAACGGUCCUAAGGUAGCGAAAUUCCUUGUCG